UAAGGGCGUUGAAGCAUGAUCGUAAGGACAUGUGGAGCGCUUAGAAGUGAGAAUGCCGGUGUGAGUAGCGAAAGACGGGUGAGAAUCCCGUCCACCGAUUGACUAAGGUUUCCAGAGGAAGGCUCGUCCGCUCUGGGUUAGUCGCGUCCUAAGCUGAGGCCGACAGGCGUAGGCGAUGGAUAACAGGUUGAUAUUCCUGUACCACCUAUAAUCGUUUUAAUCGAUGGGGGGACGCAGUAGGAUAGGCGAAGCGUGCGAUUGGAUUGCACGUCUAAGCAGUAAGGCUGAGUAUUAGGCAAAUCCGGUACUCGUUAAGGCUGAGCUGUGAUGGGGAGAAGACAUUGAGUCUUCGAGUCGUUGAUUUCACACUGCCGAGAAAAGCCUCUAGAUAGAAAAUAGGUGCCCGUACCGCAAACCGACACAGGUAGUCAAGAUGAGAAUUCUAAGGUGAGCGAGCGAACUCUCGUUAAGGAACUCGGCAAAAUGACCCCGUAACUUCGGGAGAAGGGGUGCUCUUUAGGGUUAACGCCCAGAAGAGCCGCAGUGAAUAGGCCCAAGCGACUGUUUAUCAAAAACACAGGUCUCUGCUAAACCGUAAGGUGAUGUAUAGGGGCUGACGCCUGCCCGGUGCUGGAAGGUUAAGAGGAGUGGUUAGCUUCUGCGAAGCUACGAAUCGAAGCCCCAGUAAACGGCGGCCGUAACUAUAACGGUCCUAAGGUAGCGAAAUUCCUUGUCGGGUAAGUUCCGACCCGCACGAAAGGCGUAACGAUUUGGGCACUGUCUCAACGAGAGACUCGGUGAAAUCAUAGUACCUGUGAAGAUGCAGGUUACCCGCGACAGGACGGAAAGACCCCGUGGAGCUUUACUGUAGCCUGAUAUUGAAAUUCGGCACAGCUUGUACAGGAUAGGUAGGAGCCUUUGAAACGUGAGCGCUAGCUUACGUGGAGGCGCUGGUGGGAUACUACCCUAGCUGUGUUGGCUUUCUAACCCGCACCACUUAUCGUGGUGGGAGACAGUGUCAGGCGGGCAGUUUGACUGGGGCGGUCGCCUCCUAAAAGGUAACGGAGGCGCUCAAAGGUUCCCUCAGAAUGGUUGGAAAUCAUUCAUAGAGUGUAAAGGCAUAAGGGAGCUUGACUGCGAGACCUACAAGUCGAGCAGGGUCGAAAGACGGACUUAGUGAUCCGGUGGUUCCGCAUGGAAGGGCCAUCGCUCAACGGAUAAAAGCUACCCCGGGGAUAACAGGCUUAUCUCCCCCAAGAGUUCACAUCGACGGGGAGGUUUGGCACCUCGAUGUCGGCUCAUCGCAUCCUGGGGCUGUAGUCGGUCCCAAGGGUUGGGCUGUUCGCCCAUUAAAGCGGUACGCGAGCUGGGUUCAGAACGUCGUGAGACAGUUCGGUCCCUAUCCGUCGUGGGCGUAGGAAAUUUGAGAGGAGCUGUCCUUAGUACGAGAGGACCGGGAUGGACAUACCUCUGGUGUACCAGUUGUCGUGCCAACGGCAUAGCUGGGUAGCUAUGUGUGGACGGGAUAAGUGCUGAAAGCAUCUAAGCAUGAAGCCCCCCUCAAGAUGAGAUUUCCCAACUUCGGUUAUAAGAUCCCUCAAAGAUGAUGAGGUUAAUAGGUUCGAGGUGGAAGCAUGGUGACAUGUGGAGCUGACGAAUACUAAUCGAUCGAAGACUUAAUCAA
This 1684-nucleotide ribosomal RNA is filed under the name Staphylococcus aureus T77618. RNAcentral's name for it is "bacterial LSU rRNA". It matches the Rfam family "Bacterial large subunit ribosomal RNA", at positions 1242 to 2925 of the family's 2925-position model. The record is from RNAcentral. Lineage: Bacteria; Bacillati; Bacillota; Bacilli; Caryophanales; Staphylococcaceae.